GACGAACCGGACAAACGUUAUUCGGAAUUACUGGGCUUAAAGGGUUUGUAGGCGGCCUUGUAAGUCAGGUGUGAAAUCCCUCGGCUCAACCGAGGAAUGGCGCUUGAUACUGCACGGCUUGAGGGAGACAGGGGUAAGCGGAACUGAUGGUGGAGCGGUGAAAUGCGUUGAUAUCAUCAGGAACACCGGUGGCGAAAGCGGCCUACUGGGGCUCAUCUGACGCUGAGGAACGAAAGCUAGGGGAGCGAACGGG
This 253-nucleotide ribosomal RNA is filed under the name uncultured bacterium. RNAcentral's name for it is "partial 16S ribosomal RNA". It matches the Rfam family "Bacterial small subunit ribosomal RNA", at positions 524 to 776 of the family's 1533-position model. The record is from RNAcentral.